RNA transcript from Phragmites australis (common reed), 5235 nucleotides. RefSeq lists it as uncharacterized. The transcript is spliced from 3 exons. The record is from RefSeq and is a predicted model, not a curated record. Lineage: Eukaryota; Viridiplantae; Streptophyta; Magnoliopsida; Poales; Poaceae.
CGACUCGUUCUCUUCUCCAUUUCCAAAGACAAGGACUUAGCGUGCCAAGGUUUUAGCUCCCCCAGCCGCCAUGGCCAUCCACGUCCCUUCUCGUCUUCACCCACCUGCCUUCCUCCUCUAGCUCCCAUCGUCCACCCCAAAUGGCGGCCUCUACCUCCUCCCCAUUCCUCGCGUCCCCCCGCUUCUCCUGCCAGAUCGCCGGCAACCCCACCCCGGCGCCCAGGUACGCCCCAGCCGUCAGAAUCCUUUCUUGGAAGCGCUUUGCGGCUUCCAGCUGCGAGGUCUCCCUCGUCCUGGCGCGGCUCCCACGACCGCCGCCACGCCGUCGGAACGCGCUGCGCGAGAAGACCUCGCCCCUGCCGCCGCUAGUUGUACGGCACCAGGUGCGUCCUCCGUACGAUGUGUUCCCCGAGCUAGGGUCUUUGGAUAGCCAAGAACCAACAUCUGGUUCUUUGGGUGCUGAGCCAUCGUCGGAUCUUGACGAGAAAUUGGAAAUUUCUGGUGGUCUGGAUGCUUUUCGAAGUGGGAAUUUUGCCUCGAAGUCUGAAUUGGACAAUGAGAAGGAUGUGAUUGGAGUUGCAGAGGAAAUCACUUUCUGCGGGACUGGGGCUGGUCCUGUGUUCAGUGUUUAUGAAGACCCAGAAGGGAAUGUGAUGCACGUUGAGGUAGAUGAAGAUGAAAUCAUUAACAAGAGUGAGGCUGCAGAUGGAGAGCGGAGUUGCUAUUCGGAUGCUACGAUGUCUUGUGCUAGAGUGAUGGGCAAGGAGCUCAAAAGCGGCCGGCAUAUGGCUCCAAAGAACAGCUCAUUGUUUCAGUUUGUUGCCACUGAGAGGAUGGAAUCGCCAGCUGUGAAUGGUGAGGUUUCAGUUGCACAGAGAAUGGCGACUCCUUUGGGGGGCUUCGCAUGGAGCGGUUUUGCAGCAUUAUGCAGUGUCUGCCUUGUAUUUGCUGCAUCCAAGUUGGUCUGGAGGAACAGUAAGUCCAAAUUUCCGAGGAGGUUGUUUUAUAUGCAUAGGCAUGGGAUGAAAAGGGAUGGAUUAGAUAAGGCACACGGAUAUCCAGGUGCUUUAUUAAGAAGGCCGCAUCUAGACAGGAAAGAACUGAUGAAUAACAUCAAAAGAGCCAAGGAAUCAAGGGAAUGGUUCGUCCUAAGCAAUGCAUUUAGUUGCAAAACUGUUGCUAAUGGUGAUGCAAAUAUUACAGAAAUCAGAAGAACGGUUACAGAGGUUCACACACCAGUAGAAGGAAGCCUUGAACAAGGUAGUACUGAAGAAAAGAAAGAUAUUGUUUUUUCACACCCAAUAGUUGCAAUUGACAAAGAAGUUUCUGCAAGUUAUGGUGGCCAAUCUGAUCCUGAUGAAGUAUCAGGCAGUAGCAACUUAACUGGUAUCAGUUUGUCGAAUGAUAGGAUCGAGGAAAGUGUGGCUGCAACAUUACCUCAGAGAAGCAGAGAAGAUAUGAAAAAUGGAGAACCAGUUAUGAACACUAGUGAAAAAAAUCAGGAUAAUAUUGGAGAAAUAGAACUGCCUGAGCCCACUUAUAACAAGAAGAUGACUGGUGCAAGUGAUAGAACUUCUAUGAUAUACGCAUCAGAAAAAGAAGCACAAACUGGUUCUGCAAAGGAUCAUGAUCUGGGCCCUAACAGUAUUACCACCACAUCAUCUGAAUUUGAAAGCAAAGAACAAUUUGCAGAGAUAUGCACAGAGAAUCUGGAUUGCAUUCAAGGAACAAAACCAUCUCUGCCGUUCAUUAGUGACAAACAUAUGACUUGUGCAAAGGAUAAUGCUCACCAGUUUAGUACCAAUGUAGUUUCAGAAAGAGCUGAUGGUUUGUCAUCUGAUUGUUUCAACAUGUCACCAUCUGAGUUGAGAAACAACAAAACACCCCUGGACAUUAGUGUGAGUGAUCUCAAUGGCAUUAAAGAAACUGAAGCGCCCAGGACUUCUGCAAACGUUGCUCACACGGCUCACUGCGAAGAGUUUACUCAUAAUAUAAGCAUAAUAGGUAAACAAGGAUGUAAAGCUCCAGUAAUGGCUGAUACCGUGACUGCAACAUCACCUCAGAGAAGCAGAGAAGAGCCUGUGGAUCUCAGGAGAGAUAGCAUGCAAUCAAUGAAAGAACCAGAACCAUGUAUUUCUACUGGGAAUGACAAACAGCUAAGUCAUGCGAGUGGGAAUGAGCAUAAAGAUAGAACAGUACACAACAAGACCCAGAUUAGGUUGGAAGCAGACACCACUAGGAUACUUGAUAAUGCUAGCACACCGUCACUAUAUGCCCUGCAAGAAGAAACCAUUCAACACAGACCUGCAAAAGUUUCAAGAUCAGAGAAGAGGCAAGAGAAAAGAACUUCAUCUAGCAAAAAGCAUAGAGCACAUCUCUCUGAAAACAAAGGCAAAAUGAAGAAACAAGUGUGCAGUGAUAAGGAAGCAGAGACAAAGCAGUCAGAACAAGGUGUACCUGGAACGGAAAUUGUGAUUGAUCCAUCAAAUUGUGUACCGAAAACAAAAAGAGUGCCAAAGAAACGGAUAAAGAAAGUACAAAAUGAUAUGGAAAGAGUAGCUGCACAAGAUGAUGUUCAAAGUUGCAGCAUAAUUGAUCAGAAUAACAAUAGCCAGCGUGUUAAAAAGACUAGAAGAAAAAAUCUGAGAAAUGCAUCUUGCAAUCAAGGAGCUCAAACAAGAGAGGAAAAUCCAGAAACAACUUAUAUAGUCAAUUAUCCGGAUAAUGCACCGACAAUAUGAAACCUCUUGGUGUGGCAGCUUCUUCUUUGGAGACACAAUUUUCAAAGGGGUCUUUUAGGAAAUAGUAGCUAAAUGGGUCCAGUGGUAUUAUUCUGAGAAAGGAAGAGUUCUGCUCACCUCUGGAACCCUGGAAACGGUGGAGACAGCUGUGAUAGAAACUUUCAAUAUGACUGUUAAGUUAAACAAAUCAAAUGUUGGUGUAACUGCUCCCAAGAAGGCGCAAAGAGAAAAUCAUUGUCAAAGUGUAGCAAGUCAACUAUUCCUUCAGAUUAUCAAAUAAAGGCUAAGAUACUACUGACAAGCUACAGCAUGUAUGAAGUGUUUCAAGUAUUGCUCUCCAUGCAUAAGUUGUUUCUGCAGAGUUGCCCUCAAUUAAUAUGCAGCACAGUUUUUUAUGAACAAUAGUGGCAAACUGGAAAUAUUGCAACAAGCAAGCAUCAGCUUAAAGAGGAUAUCUUCUCUCAUCAAUCUGAGCAACCAGUUUCAUCGUUCUUGUUUCUGAAAGGAAAUUGUAGUAACAGGUUGUAGGGCAAAAAAUAUGGUAAUGUAUUGUCCGACUGUUUACAAGUACUUGUUUGAUAUUUGAUAGUUUUUUUUCCGUUUGAGCUUGAGCACCCUUAUGAAACUUUACUUACCGUCAUAGAGUGCCUAAUAGAAUGCAUGAUAUUAAAGUUUUGAAACUUUGACCAAUGAUAUCUGUUGAAGCAUUAUGAUUCGUCAUAUUCAAAUAAUAUUGGUAGAAUUGUCAUCAAAGUACUUCCAAAACAUUCCUUGUUGUACCUUGCAUAAAAGUUAAUGGUCAAAGGUGUAUGUUAUAGAGCAUGUGAAUGUCUAAAAAUGAUAUCUUAGAAACGGAACUAGUAGCAAAGUGAACUAUAAAUCCUGUUCUCUGCAAUAUCAAAAAUUGCUGAAGAACUUAUUUUCAGCAAAGCAUAAUCACCAACAACUCAUGUAUUACUUCAGCAUCACAGUUCACAACCACCCUCAUUUAUUCAAAUGAGAGAAAAAAUGUUUGACACAACCAAUGCAAAAAGACAAGUGUCAGUAAACAUUCUAUAUUACCCUUUUGUUGUUGCAUAUACUGUUAACCUAUCAGCUUCCUCAAAUAGGCUAUAUUUAGUUUCCAAAGGGCAGAUGAGAUCUAACAAAAUAGUCUUGUUAGAAAACCAAAAAGCCACAUGCUUGACAUCAAUAUAUUACAAUGGACAGCUCGACAUAAUUUUUUUCUGGUGUGAAGAAUAAAAUCUAAGAAACAUACAAUAGCACAGAGUUAGCCAUGUAGACAAAACCAUCUUAGGUAGCUGUUGUCGAUUGAUCUUUUGUACAUUAUGCAGUGAGAAGUUAAACUUGGAUGAACCAUCAAGUGCAAUGGACAUUAUGCAUAUGCUUAGCACAUCAAUAUAAACACCAGAAGAUAUAGGAGUGAAUUACGCCAGAAUUCUUAUUCUCAAACUUGUCCGAUUGUGCCUCAGGUUAACUAAACCUGUAAAUUUGUUUGACAAGCACUUGAACUUGCUUAAUUAUGUCAACUAUAUCCAUUAGUCACAGAAAACAUGUAGUAAUGACUCCUGCUGAGAAAUGUAUAAGCUGAUGUAGUUAUUGAAAGAGUCAAAUUAGUUUAGGUAAGUUAUCUAGUUGUUAUGGGCAGAAGAUAAGUUGGAUUUGAUUAGGAGAUAGAAUUUGAUUAGUUUUUAAUUCAGCUAAAGAUAAAUUAGGUAAGUUAAGAUUUGAAGUUAGAUUUGGAUUAUAAUUUCCCCUCUCUAUAUAAAGGGGCAGCGACGCAUCAUUGCAAGCAAGCAAGAAAAAUUCAACAAAGGGCUUUUGUCUUGAUGGUUAAAUCAAAACCUCUUCUUGACGGGAGAAGUCCGGUAAUUAGAGGGCGAUUAGCCUCGAGUAUGGGAGAAAACUGGGAUUAGUGGACGAUCAUUAUGAUUCGAAUUCAUUACACAUGAAAUACGAACCCACGCAUCGUCAUCUUAUUAGCUAGGACCACUAUACUUCUAACAGUUCUGACAACAGCUACACAAGAUCUUCAGGGGUGUACUUCAUAAGUUUGGGAGGCGUGUUUUGGUGAUUAUCCAAGUAUGAACCGGAAGUCUUUUUAACUAUUCUACUGUAAUCCCUCCCCUGCUACUGACUAGUUCCCAGAUUUUCGAAUUAAGCAACCGUUUAACCAAGUUGCAAUGUUUACCUAUUCCAUGUGAAACGAUGGCUACUGAGCAGCAGAUUAGAUGUGUGUUGGCUUUAUGGUGUUGACCUACAAAUACUGGUUAAGAGAUGUAUUCUUGUGACUGCUGUGAUCUAGCAGAAAGCAGUGCAUAUAUAUGUAAAUGUAUAGCGGUUUUAUGGUAAGGUGAUGACCAGAUUAUAUUGUGUUCUCUGAUAAUUUUAUGAUGAUUCGCGUUUAGUGAGACGUGUGUGCAUCCAAGGUUGAUAUUAUUUAGCUUUGGUGGUCACUUUCUUAGUAAAUAAUCAUGUGAAUGCCCAAGUUGUU